AGGUAACAGUGAGCGGGAAGCUGGUGAAAUUCAUACCCACUAGGAAAUCACAAGAGAAGCCGGAGACGAGAUUGAAAAACCCCCCUUUCUCUAAGCCUGACAAUAUCAAGAUUGCAAUGCAAGCACCAAAAAGACCAAGAAACCGUGGGUAACACACACUGGAUCCAACCUUUGAAAUUCAGUAUCCAAUCCUUAAGUACUGUCACCAUGUGGUCUACACAUCCACCCAACAAACAGAACACGUUGGCGUGAUUUACAAAAAGAAAACAGUAGCAUGUAGCGAGAAAAGCAAGGUAGAUGAACACUUUAUGGGGCUAUCAGAAGAUCCAGAUUUGAGAUUGAAAACUUAUCAGGUGUCCAACCAGGCGUCCAUAACCAUAAGAGAGAUCAAGUUGGAUAUUUGAAGAACAUAAGCAUCUGCACUGAAGAUAAAAAAAUGACAGCAGAAUACACUACAAACACUUCUGAAAAGAUUUAUCUCAGCUCUGUAUUACCAGCAGUGCUGAAGAUGAAAAAAUGGCAACAGAAUACACUACAAACACUCAUAAAAGAUUUAUCUCAGCUCUGUAUUACCAGCAGUUUGGACAAAGAGAGAAGGGAAUCGCUAUCAUUAGGGAAGGAAACUGGAAUGAAAACCUCAAUAACUACAGAAACCUCCAUGCAAAUCGGCAAGCAAACACGCGGCUCCUUGGAAAGACGCAUUCACUGCUCCAAGGCCCAAUGGCUGCAAGCACAAAUAGGAGGUACCAUUUAAGUGAAAAACUGGUGAAACCGUACCACUACGAAACCAAAAGAGAUGCCAGAGACAAGAUUGAAAAAACCCUUUUCUCGAAGCCUUGACAAUACCAAGAUUGCGUUGCAAGCACCAAAAAGACCAAGAAACCACGCAUAACGCAUGCUGGAUCACCAACCUUUGAAAUUUCAAAAUCCAAUCCUUAAUUACUGUCACCAUGUGUCUACACAUCCCCACAACAAACUAAUACAAGUUGGCGUGAUAAACAAAGAAAACAGUAGCAGAAAAGAUAUGUAGCGAGAAAACCAAAAGUAGAGGAGCACUUUAUGGGGCUAUCACAAAAGAUCCAUAUUUGAGAUUGAGUACUUAUCAGGUGUCCAACCAGGUGUGAAAACAUAAGCAUCUGGAAUGAAAAAACUGAAAAUGGCAGCAAAAUAUGCUAUACACACUUGUGAAAGAUUUAUCUCAGUCAACAAUUUCCCCAUACCAGCAGUUUUGACAAAGAUAAGGGAAUCACGAUAAUUAGGAUAGAAAACUGGAUUGAAAAUCUCAAUACUCAGAGAAGCCUAAACGACAGAGACCUCAAUGACCGGCCUCGCUCAACAAUUUUCCUAUACCAGCAGUUUUGACAAAGAUAAGGGAAUCACUAUAAUUAGGAUAGUUUUCAAAUCUCAAUACUCAGAGAAGCCUAAACUACAGAGACCUCAAUGACCGGCAAGGAGAACAAGGCAGCUCCAUGCAAGGAGGAAUUCACUUCUCUAGGGACCAAUGGCUGCAAGCACAAACAGGAGGUAACAGUAAGUGAAAAGCUGGUGAAACCCAUACCACUAGGAAAUCGCAAGAGAUGCCGGAGACGAGAUUGAAAAACCCCGUAUCUCUAAGCCUGACAAUACCAAGAUUGCAAUGCAAGCACCAAAAAGACCAAGAAACCGUGUGUAACACACUGGAUCACCAACCUUUGAAAUUCAGUAUCCAAUCCUUAAUUACUGUCACCAUGUGGUCUACACAUCCACCCAACAAACAAAACACGUUGCGUGAUUAACAAAAGAAAACAGUAGCAUUUAGCGAGAAAACCAAGGUAGAUGAGCAUUUUAUGGGGCUAUCAGAAGAUCCAGAUUUGAGAUUGAAAACUUAUCAGGUGUCCAACCAGGCGUCCAUAACCAUAAGAGAGAUCAAGUUGGAUAUUUGAAGAACAUAAGCAUCUGCACUGAAGAUAAAAAAAUGACAGCAGAAUACACUACAAACACUUCUGAAAAGAUUUAUCUCAGCUCUGUAUUACCAGCAGUUUGGACAAAGAGAGAAGGGAAUCGCUAUCAUUAGGGAAGGAAACUGGAAUGAAAACCUCAACAACUACAGAAACCUCAAUGCAAAUCGGCAAGGAAACACGCGGCUCCUUGGAGAGACGCAUUCACUGCCCCAAGGCACAAUCGCUGCAAGCACAAAUAGGAGGCACCAUUUAAGUAAAAAACAGGUGAAACCCGUACAACUAGGAAAUCAAAAGAGAUGCCGAAGACAAGAUUGAAAAAGCCUUUUCUCGAAGCCUUGACAAUACCAAGAUUGUGUUGCAAGCACCAAAAAGACCAAGAAACCAUGCAUAAUGCAUGCUGGAUCACCAACCUUUGAAAUUUCAAAAUCCACUCCCUACUUACUGUCACCAUGUGUCUACACAUCCCCACAACAAACUAAUACAAGUUGGCGUGAUAAACAAAAGAAAACAGUAGCACAAAAAAUAUGUAGCGAGAAAAUCAAAAGUAGAGCAGCACUUUAUGGGGCUAUCAAAAGAUCGAUGUUUGAGAUUGAGUACUUAUCAGGUGUCCAACCAGGUGUGAGAACAUAAGCAUCUGGAAUGAAAAAAAACUGAAAAUGGCAGCAAAAUAUGCUAUACACACUUGUGAAAAGAUCUAUCCUUGGUCAACAAUUUUCCUAUACCAGCAGUUUUGACAAAGAUAAGGGAAUCACUAUAAUUAGGAUAGUUUUAAAAUCUCAAUACUCAUAUAAGCCUAAACUACAGAGACCUCAAUGACCGGCAAGGAGAACAAGGCAGCUCCAUGCAAGGAGGAAUUCACUUCUCUAGGGCACAAUGGCUGGCAAGCACAAACAAGAGGUAACAGUAAGUGAAAAGCUGGUGAAACCCCCUUUUCCGAAGCCUGACAAUAUCAAGAUGGCAAUGCAAGCACCAAAAAGACCAAAACCUUUGAAAUUCAAUAUCCAAUCCUUAAUUACUGUCACCAUGUGGUCUCCACAUCCACCCAACAAACAAAAACAAGUUUGGCGUGAUAAACAAAAGAAAACGCACAGAAGAUAUGUAGCGAGGAAACCAAAGAUAGACAUGCACUUUAUGGCUAUCAAAAGAUCAAGAUUUGAAUUGAAUACUUAUCAGGUGUCCGCAACCAGGCGUCCAUAACCUUGAGAGAGAUCUCACAAGUUGGAUAAUUGAAGAACAUAAGCAUCUGGACUGAAGAGGAAAAAAUGCAGCAAAAUACACUACAAACACUUGUGAAAAGAUUUAUCUCGGGUGACAAUUUCUGUAUUACCAGCAGUUUGGACAAAGAAGGGAAUCACUAACAUUAGGGAAGGAAACUGGAAUGAAAAUCUCAAUAAUUAUAGAAGUCUGAACUACAGAAACCUCAAUGCAAAUCAGCAAGGAAACACGCGGCUCCAUGUAAAGACGCAUUCACUGCUCUAAGGCCCAAUGACUGCAGCACAAAUAGGAGGCAACAUUUAAGUGAAAAACUGGUGAAACCAGUACCCAUUAGGAAAUCAAAAGAAAUGCUAGAGAUGAAAUUGAAAAACCCCCUUUCUCAAAGCCUGACAAUACCAAGAUUGCAUUGCAAGCACCAAAAAGACCAAGAAACCAUGCACGACGCAUGCUGGAUCACCACCCCUCAGAAAUUUCAAAAUCCAAUCCUUAAUCACUAUCACCAUGUGGUCUACACAUCCCAACAACAAACAAAUACAAGUUGGUAUGAUAAACAAAAGAAAAUAGUAGAAAAGAAGAUAUGUAGCGAGAAUAUGCUAUACACACUUGUGAAAAGAUCUAAUGUCGGUUGACAAUUUCCGUACACCAGCAGUUUGACAAAGAUAAAUAAUCACUCUGAUUAGGGAAGAAAAUUGGAUUGGAAAUCUCAAUACUCAUCUAAGCCUAAACUAUAGAGACCAACGGAGACCUCAAUGUUUGGCAAGGAAAACAAGGAGGGGCUCCAUGCAAGGAGGAAUUCACUUCUCUAGGGCCAGUGGCUGCAAGCACAAACAGGGGGCAACAGUAAGUGAAAAGCUGCUGAAACCCAUACCAAUAGGAUAUCACAACAAAAGCCAGACACAAGAUUGAAAUUCCCCCUUUCUUGAAGCAUGACAAUAUCAGGAUUGCAAUGCAAGCACCAAAAAGACAAAGAAACCGUGUGUAACAACCUUGGAAACUUCAAAAUCCAGCACUUAAUUCCUGUCACUGUGUGGUCCAACAAACAAAACAAGUUGGCAUGAUAACCAAAAGAAAACAGAAGCUGAGAAGAUGAGUAGGGAGACCACCAAAAGUGGAAGAGCACUUUAUGAGGCUAUCUAAGGAUGCAGAAUUGAGUACUUAUCAGGUGUCCAUAAUGAUAAGAGAUCUCAUCAGCUGGAUGAUCGAAGAACACAAGCAUCUGGACUGAAAAAUAAAAUGGCAGCAGAAUACACUACAUGCUUGUGGAAAGAACAAUCUUA
This 4432-nucleotide long non-coding RNA is filed under the name Nicotiana benthamiana. RNAcentral describes it as "long non-coding RNA (NBEN_LNC019881)". The record is from RNAcentral. Lineage: Eukaryota; Viridiplantae; Streptophyta; Magnoliopsida; Solanales; Solanaceae.